GCCCAGCUAGCUAAGUGAGUAGAGCAUGAGACUCUUAAUCUCAGAGUCAUGGUUUCAUGCCUCAUGUUGGGUG
RNAcentral lists this transfer RNA (73 nucleotides) under Mesocricetus auratus (golden hamster). It matches the Rfam family "tRNA". Rfam says of the family: Transfer RNA (tRNA) molecules are approximately 80 nucleotides in length. Their secondary structure includes four short double-helical elements and three loops (D, anti-codon, and T loops). Lineage: Eukaryota; Metazoa; Chordata; Mammalia; Rodentia; Cricetidae. The record is from Rfam by way of RNAcentral.